GUGUCAGCAGCCGCGGUAAGACGAACCGUGCAAACGUUAUUCGGAAUCACUGGGCUUAAAGGGUGCGUAGGCGGCCCUGAAGGUUGGAUGUGAAAGCCAACGGCUUAACCGUUGAAUUGCGUCCAAAACCACAGGGCUCGAGGGAGACAGAGGUGAGCGGAACUCAAGGUGGAGCGGUGAAAUGCGUUGAUAUCUUGAGGAACACCGGAGGCGAAAGCGGCUCACUGGGUCUCUACUGACGCUGAGGCACGAAAGCCAGGGGAGCGAACGGGAUUAGAUACCCCCGUAGUCC
This 292-nucleotide ribosomal RNA is filed under the name uncultured bacterium. RNAcentral describes it as "partial 16S ribosomal RNA". It matches the Rfam family "Bacterial small subunit ribosomal RNA", at positions 505 to 796 of the family's 1533-position model. The record is from RNAcentral.